Molecule: long non-coding RNA, 976 nt
Organism: Alosa alosa (allis shad)
Lineage: Eukaryota; Metazoa; Chordata; Actinopteri; Clupeiformes; Clupeidae
Exons: 3
Source: RefSeq, a predicted model, not a curated record
UUAAUGUCUCUAUGUCUUAUUUUUCAUUUUAGAUGAAGAUGUCUGUCAAUGGCUUCAGUCCAUCAAUUUAAUUGAUGGCAAAAAUAUAGUAUCCAUUACCUCUGACUAUCUUUAAGUGUCCAAUUUGUGAUGUAAAGUUUUACCUUCCCAAAUAUUUGCAACAUCUACAGCUACUUCAUCAGCAUCUUCCUGAUUUCUGUAUUGUUUGCAUUAUAUUUAAUGUAAUGAAGGUCUAUUGUCAUACUUGCAUUAACAGAACAGCAAAUUGAUGGGGAGACUGCUGGGGUUGACAGAGAGGAUGGUUGAACAACUGUUUCCUCUGAUGAAACACAGUCUUGUUUUUGAGAGGUGGAAAAGUUACGCAAAUCAUCGUUGGUUCAGAGACCCUGCUGGAGUGUUUUAGGAAUAAGUUCAGAAAGGAAAGGUCUCCUUUGAUAAACCUGACAACGGUGCAGGAGAUUAAGAGAGUUUGGUGUUAGAAGACAACGAAUUGUGGACCGUGUGCCUCUGGAGGACCCACCUGGACAUCAGGUGCCAUUUUUACAUUCUUGCUUGUCUUUAGCCUGUUUGUUUUCUCGUCUGUAUGUCUAUAUGCUAGCUAGUCACAGUAGCCACUGUUUGUCAGUACAGAUAUCUUAAUAUUACACAUUUCUCUUUGCUAAUUUCAGAGAGCAAAAAAGUACAGAGUGGGGGUCCAGAUGUCUUCUGAUUACGAGCCAACACAAGAGAUGAUGUUGGACCUUGAAGCAGUUGGGGAGGACUACCACAGCUUUCAAGAGCAUAUAAAUGCCAUAAACAAUUAGAUGUGCCGUCGUCAGCCAGAUAUUAGUCAUAUAAUGGACAGGAUGAGGCAAACUGUCUAUAAGAGGGUAGAGCAAAUGGGAAAGCCAACUGAGGAGGUGAUGGAGAUGUUCCAAUUUCUUUGGGUGCCAGAGCAGGUGAGUAGCAAAGUCUUAUAGUAGUAUUACUAUCAUUA